This 35-nucleotide non-coding RNA is filed under the name unclassified sequences. The record is from Rfam.
UAGGAGAAAGCUGAAAAUCCUUAAAAGAGUAGGCA